Molecule: ribosomal RNA, 497 nt
Filed under: uncultured bacterium
Lineage: Bacteria
Description: partial 16S ribosomal RNA
Rfam family: Bacterial small subunit ribosomal RNA
Source: RNAcentral
GACGAACGCUGGCGGCGUGCCUAAUACAUGCCAGUUGAGCGAUGAAGAUUGGUGCUUGCACCAAUUUGAAGAGCAGCGAACGGGUGAGUAACGCGUGGGGAAUCUGCCUUUGAGCGGGGGACAACAUUUGGAAACGAAUGCUAAUACCGCAUAACAUCUUUAAACAUAAGUUUUAAGUUUGAAAGAUGCAAUUGCAUCACUCAAAGAUGAUCCCGCGUUGUAUUAGCUAGUUGGUGAGGUAAAGGCUCACCAAGGCGAUGAUACAUAGCCGACCUGAGAGGGUGAUCGGCCACAUUGGGACUGAGACACGGCCCAAACUCCUACGGGAGGCAGCAGUAGGGAAUCUUCGGCAAUGGACGAAAGUCUGACCGAGCAACGCCGCGUGAGUGAAGAAGGGUUUCGGAUCGUAAAACUCUGUUGGUAGAGAAGAACGUUGGUGAGAGUGGAAAGCUCAUCAAGUGACGGUAACUACACAGAAAGGGACGGCUAACUACGUG